GUUGAACGCUGGCGGCAUGCCUAAUACAUGCAAGUCGAACGGUAAGAGGAAACGCUUGGCUGUUUGACUUUCGAGUGGCAGGGGUGAGUGAAAUGUGGGUAACACUGCUUUAUGACUGGGGUUAACUAGUGAAAACGGUGGCAAUUACGGCAUAUCUUCUCAACACCAAGGUGCAAUAGUGAAGGACCGCUUUCCAGCAGAUUAUCGCUGAUUCCGUGCGGCAUUAGCUAGUUGGUCAGGUAACGGCUUACCAAGGCAACGAUUCGUAGCAGACCUGAGAGGAUGAUCGGCCACACUGGAACUGAGACACGGUCCAGACUCCUACGGGAGGCAGCAGUGGGGAAUAUUGCGCAAUGGGCGAAAGCCUGACGGAGCAACGCCGCGUGAAUGAUGAAGGUCUUCGGGUCGUAAAGCACUUUUAGUAGGGAAGAACAGAGUUGUAAGUAACUAUGCACUUCUUGACGGUACCUGAACAAAAAGCCACGGCUAACUACGUG
RNAcentral lists this ribosomal RNA (497 nucleotides) under uncultured bacterium. Its description in RNAcentral is "partial 16S ribosomal RNA". It matches the Rfam family "Bacterial small subunit ribosomal RNA", at positions 28 to 507 of the family's 1533-position model. The record is from RNAcentral.